Molecule: long non-coding RNA, 700 nt
Organism: Gadus macrocephalus (Pacific cod)
Lineage: Eukaryota; Metazoa; Chordata; Actinopteri; Gadiformes; Gadidae
Exons: 2
Source: RefSeq, a predicted model, not a curated record
UGUUGGAAGCAUAGACAGUCGCUAUUCCCAUUGAAACGAAUGGCGCGGUGAUUAUUCUUCAAAACGAGAGCUGGUAAAUCGUGAACAAUGAAUUAAACUGUAAUCAGACAAAGCAGUUAUAUGCUAUAGACCCUAGAGCAGGGAUGCCAGGGUGAAAUUGGUCAGGGGGCCAGAUUUUUUUGAAGUGAGACCUCAGGGGGCCGGAUUACACUAUCGGACUGAAAAGGCCUGAAAAGGCCAAACACUGACUCAACACAUGGAUAGGUAGGCUAUUUUAAAUUAUGCUUGAAUAAAUUGCAUUGGCCCCAAAAUAGCCUCACAAUGAGGCCUACAAUUACAUAGCCUAAAGCAGGAGACAGCUCCCGUCUAAAAACUUAACAUUUUCCUAUCCAUGCAAGUAGCCUACAUUUAUAAAUCCUCGAAAGUUGCACUGGGUGCCUUUAAUAGAUUUUAUUUUAUUUAUUGAAGGCUUGCAUAGGUGAACUAGGCGAUCGCCUAGGGCGGCAAAUGCGUUGGGGGCGGUAAAAGUGUUGGGGGCGCCCCCUGGAGGCGGCCUUAAUAAAUAAAUAAAUUUUAAUGAAACAAGCGUGUUUUCUAAACACGUUUCGAAAUGGAAUGGAGAAUGGGGGAUGAAAAGUUAUUGAAUCAUAACAGACCAGCAGCAGUAACAGACCAACUGACGGAUUCCAAAAAAUAAAAG